RNAcentral lists this ribosomal RNA (117 nucleotides) under Sinocyclocheilus rhinocerous. The record is from RNAcentral. Lineage: Eukaryota; Metazoa; Chordata; Actinopteri; Cypriniformes; Cyprinidae.
GGCCACAGCCAUAUCACCCUGCAGCCCAAGACUGGUUGCCCACUGAAGCUAAGCAGGGCUGAGUCUGGUCAGUACCUGGAUGGGAGACCUCCUGGGAAAACUAGGUUGCUGUUGGAA